AUAAAAACUUAAGAAAAACUUGAUUGUAGGGAUAGAGUUCGGGAAUCAAAAUCAGGGGGCUCACCUUCUCCUUCUGCAAUUUUUGCUGUGCUGGUGCUAGCGUUGCGAAUCGAAGGUUAAGGAGGCUCAGCCCUCAAGGUCCCACUAUCUCAGGUUCGCAGUCUGCUGUCGGUGCUUCAAGGGCUCUAUUUCGAAGCCCGAAGGUGUUGCUGCUGCGUGAAUCGUGACUUGCAUCUAGAGCAGCCGCGAUUGAGAAGUUCAACAUCGGAGACUGCAGAUAAAUGGCGAAGACACAGAGGCGGCUGAUGACUAAUUGAAGAAAGUGUUUUUUUGGGAGAGAACGGCAUGAACGCAGUAGGAACGAACGAAGACGCCAGCCCUAUUUGGUAAAAUUGAAGGAGAUGGAAAAUAAUUGAGACGAGACGAAAAGAU
This 432-nucleotide long non-coding RNA is filed under the name Olea europaea subsp. europaea. Lineage: Eukaryota; Viridiplantae; Streptophyta; Magnoliopsida; Lamiales; Oleaceae. The record is from RNAcentral.